AGUCAUCAACCCAACCCGUUUUUGUUGCGGGUUGGCUUGGAACUGGGGGCUCUUGCUGCUGUGAAAGGCGGCUCCCCUUAAAUGUGUCGGUUGGGCCUGUGGGUCAAACUCGACUGGGCGUUGUACCAUCCUCGCUCGACUGAGACGGUCCCCUGUUGCGCCCUUCCCCGACCCGCCUUUGGAGUGGUGGGUCAAACCAAACUUUGAA
Molecule: unclassified non-coding RNA, 208 nt
Filed under: uncultured Trechispora
Lineage: Eukaryota; Fungi; Basidiomycota; Agaricomycetes; Polyporales; Polyporaceae
Description: sequence contains ITS2
Source: RNAcentral